AGAGUUUGAUCAUGGCUCAGGAUGAACGCUAGCUACAGGCUUAACACAUGCAAGUCGAGGGGAAACGAUAUUGGAAGCUUGCUUCCGAUAGGCGUCGACCGGCGUACGGGUGAGUAACGCGUAUCCAACCUGCCCACCACUUGGGGAUAACCUUGCGAAAGUAAGACUAAUACCCAAUGACGUCUCUAGAAGACAUCUGAAAGAGAUUAAAGAUUUAUCGGUGAUGGAUGGGGAUGCGUCUGAUUAGCUUGUUGGCGGGGUAACGGCCCACCAAGGCGAUGAUCAGUAGGGGUUCUGAGAGGAAGGCCCCCCACAUUGGAACUGAGACACGGUCCAAACUCCUACGGGAGGCAACA
This 356-nucleotide ribosomal RNA is filed under the name uncultured bacterium. RNAcentral's name for it is "bacterial SSU rRNA". It matches the Rfam family "Bacterial small subunit ribosomal RNA", at positions 8 to 353 of the family's 1533-position model. The record is from RNAcentral.